Long non-coding RNA from Oncorhynchus tshawytscha (Chinook salmon), 402 nucleotides. The record is from Ensembl. NCBI's taxonomy places the organism in Eukaryota, Metazoa, Chordata, Actinopteri, Salmoniformes, Salmonidae.
ACUAUAGAUGUUAAACUGGUCUGUCUACCAUAUAUGCAUUUAGAUAACUACAGUAAUAAAAUGUGUUUAAAGUAUAAACAUCUAGAAGACAUGUAUGAUACAUGAUAACAUACAUAAUGACUACAGGUUAUUGACUAUUGAUUCACAUUGUGGACAAGGAGCCAUCAGAGAGGUGGACAAGGAGCCAUCAGAGAGGUGGGCAUGGGCCCAGAGCGAGAGAGAGAUCUGUUUUUGGUGACAUCAACAACAACAAAGAAUCCCACUGCUUGUAUUCUAGCCUGCAGAGUUAUCGAUCCACAUGCCCUGCACCACCAGAUUAAUGAGGAAGGGUCCAUUACACACAAACACAUGACCACACACACACUACAUCACAGAUGAAGAUGCAAUACUUACACAAGAUAG